AAACAGUUUUACCCUUUACUGUACUUUUAUUUUACGCUAAGUUAUAGCGGCAACUGAAGCGAAAUUCUCGCACAUUUAAAGAAAAUAGUUUGCUUCUGUGUUGCAAAAUAAAGUGGAUAGCCUACAAAUAACAAAUAAUAAGCUCAAAGAAUCCAAUGAAUCGAGUUUCUAUUAAUAUAUUAAGAAAUUCAACCUUAAUCGAAAGUCUUCGAUUAAAAGGUUUUUAAAAAAGUGACAGACAUAGUCACGUGUGUCCUGAAAUCACCUCAUAGACAGCGUUGAAAACAGUCACGAAGAAAACAUAAAUAAAAACAUUUAAAAUAAUGUCCUAAUGAAACUCUAAAAGGGUUUUAGAAGCCUAAGAGUAGCGAAUGGCUUGUUUGUGUGCUUUCUCUGUCUCGGUUCUCUGUUUGGUGUUAAAUACGCGUGGUGUUUGAGGAUGUGUUCGCCCAUCUUUGGGUUCAUUUAGCGGGACGCCGCAAAGAGCUGCAGUUCAAUGCACGUACGGCAGGUGGCGGCGUUGACCAGCUGUAAACACCGAAGUGCAUCGCGGUCACCAGCCUUUUAACGCCUAAAAGUUUUUUGUAUUAAAACAAUUGUAAGAUGUUGUUGGAUCGGUGUCUUAAAUAAACAAUAAAGAUAAAUAAAGAUGUUCCGUGCAUACUUUCACACAACGAUGCAUGCAGCUGGUUUGGCUGGCAUCUUCAGUGUCUGUUGCGUGCAUCACAGUGAUCUAGGACUGUGUGCGUGCGUGUGUGUGUGUGUGUUAGAGUGUGAUCUGCUCUGUUGUCUGCAGUAUGCAUGCAUGCAUCAGUGAGUUUCAGGCUCUUUGUUGGCUGGAUGGAGGCGGGGCGCUGCGGGGCCGCAGGUCCUUUUGUGCCCCUCACAUUUUGGGCAAAAGCAGAAGCACCGCUCUGCAGACGCGCCAGUAGCAUGAAACCGGACUUUACCAAAAUAAAAACUUAACAAACAGCGAUAUCCGAUACAGCGAGGUGAUUUUAACACAGCGUUUGGGGAACUUUGUGUAAAUUUUGUUCUGAGGAGAACUCUGAAGUGUUUAAGAGAGAGUGUUUGUAGUCUUGGGGUCUGGCAGGUGUGGGAUGUUGUGCACUGUUGUUCAAUCUCCCGCCAAUAUUGCACUCGUCCCGGCCUCCCUGACCACGAGGAACACGCGACUCCCGCAGUAAUCUCCCGCCACAACAGCCGCUUGUGAAGAGCUCAACCACUAGGGCGGCGCCAGACUGCAGGUUCUCCUCAUCCAGAGUGACACAUACGCUGGGUAAAUCUCUCAUCUUUCCUGGUUGUUUGGCCCCUCACACACAGGAGUUCAGUGGCCCCACGCUGGGUUUCAGAGGGUCUAGAGAGAGAGACGGAGGGCGUCUCACUCC
Molecule: long non-coding RNA, 1388 nt
Organism: Carassius auratus (goldfish)
Lineage: Eukaryota; Metazoa; Chordata; Actinopteri; Cypriniformes; Cyprinidae
Exons: 3
Source: RefSeq, a predicted model, not a curated record